CUGCCGGCAGUCGCCAGGGCAACCUGCCUCCAUCUCCUGCCUCGCCCGGGCGGGGACACCCCGCCGGCCCCCCGAGGGACCCGCCGCUACAAGGGGGAUGCGAAGGCGGGGUGCGCGGGGAAGGGGGGCCCCCGUCCCUCCCGGACUGCAGCAUCCCGCCCGCCGCAGUGCUGCCGGCUGGGGCGGCAGGAGGGCUCAGCACCGGCACAGCCCCGGAGGACGGUGUGACCCUCGCCGAGGCCACAGCGAGCAGAAUCCUGCACACCUAAGCGAGAAGGGGGAAGGGUCCAGAUCCUUCUGGUCAUCUGAUUCAGGUCAAGCAGGACUUCCCAUUGCCAGCAGCCCGCAGAUCCCACUGGAGCAGCUCCCAGCGCCUGCUGCUGCCCCCCGGGAGGGAGGUGGGAUGCUCUUUCAAUCCCUGGAAGACUGAGAGGCUGGGCCCUGUCCCCGGCGGUGUCCUG
This 461-nucleotide long non-coding RNA is filed under the name Otus sunia (Oriental scops-owl). Its description in RNAcentral is "lncRNA (ENSOSUG00000006005.1)". The record is from RNAcentral. Lineage: Eukaryota; Metazoa; Chordata; Aves; Strigiformes; Strigidae.